GCUUAUAUAGUUUAUAUAAAACAAAACAAGAAUUUUGUAAAUUCAAAAAAACAACAAGUUUAUAAGUA
RNAcentral lists this transfer RNA (68 nucleotides) under Blattisocius keegani. RNAcentral's name for it is "tRNA-Thr". Lineage: Eukaryota; Metazoa; Arthropoda; Arachnida; Mesostigmata; Blattisociidae. The record is from RNAcentral.